UUAGAAAAGCAUCAGAGAUGAAACUCAGCUAGAAAGUGACCACAAAGUAAUCCUUUGGAAUCUGUACCUGGCUCAGAGAUUUUCAGGGAGUAUUGAGCAACAAGUAAUAGUCCCAUAACCUAAAUUCAUGCAGCAUCCAGCAGCGCUGUCUCUGAGUGUUGGAAAUUGGUUGUUGCUGCAGGGAAAGCAAACAAGAGGGAGAAAACAGACUGGAAGAUGGCAGGAGAACGGCAAGAAACAAAGGCCAGAAGGAGCAGCAAGUAUUUUGUCACUGUAUCUAGCAAGGUUGUGAACAAAAAUAAAUAAAACGUUAGUCGUAAUGUGAAGGCCAUACUCUCUCUCUAUCUGUCUAUGAACUUCCCAAAGAUAUCAGAGCCACUGUGGAUUGAGGGAAGCAUGGAGUCCCCAAUU
Long non-coding RNA from Gavialis gangeticus (Gharial), 411 nucleotides. RefSeq lists it as uncharacterized. Lineage: Eukaryota; Metazoa; Chordata; Crocodylia; Gavialidae. The transcript has 3 exons. The record is from RefSeq and is a predicted model, not a curated record.